AUUGAACGCUGGCGGCAUGCUUUACACAUGCAAGUCGAACGGUAACAGGCCUUCGGGUGCUGACGAGUGGCGAACGGGUGCGUAAUGCAUCGGAACGUACCCAGAGGUGGGGGAUAACGCAGCGAAAGCUGUGCUAAUAUCGCCUGUGAUCUGAGGCUGCCAGCGGGGGACCGAGCAGCAAUGUUUGGCCUCGCGCCUUUGGAGCGGCCGAUGUCGGAUUAGCUAGUUGGCGGGGUAAAGGCCUACCAAGGCGACGAUCCGUAGCUGGUCUGAGAGGACGACCAGACACACUGUGACAGAGACACGGCCCAGACUCCUACGGGAGGCAGCAGUGGGGAAUUUUGGACAAUGGGCGCAAGCCUGAUCCAGCAAUACCGCGUGCGGGAAGAAGGCCUUCGGGUUGUAAACCGCUUUUGGCAGGAACGAAACAGUGUCCGCUAAUACCGGGCGCUAAUGACGGUACCUGCAGAAUAAGCACCGGCUAACUACGUG
RNAcentral lists this ribosomal RNA (492 nucleotides) under uncultured bacterium. RNAcentral's name for it is "partial 16S ribosomal RNA". It matches the Rfam family "Bacterial small subunit ribosomal RNA", at positions 30 to 507 of the family's 1533-position model. The record is from RNAcentral.